UACGAAGGGUGCAAGCGUUAAUCGGAAUUACUGGGCGUAAAGCGCGCGUAGGUGGUUCAGUAAGUUGGAUGUGAAAUCCCCGGGCUCAACCUGGGAACUGCAUCCAAAACUGCUGAGCUAGAGUACGGUAGAGGGUGGUGGAAUUUCCUGUGUAGCGGUGAAAUGCGUAGAUAUAGGAAGGAACACCAGUGGUGAAGGCGACCACCUGGACUGAUACUGACACUGAGGUGCGAAAGCGUGGGGAGCAAACAGG
RNAcentral lists this ribosomal RNA (253 nucleotides) under uncultured bacterium. RNAcentral's name for it is "partial 16S ribosomal RNA". It matches the Rfam family "Bacterial small subunit ribosomal RNA", at positions 524 to 776 of the family's 1533-position model. The record is from RNAcentral.